AAGACCUCGCACUUUUGGAGCGGCCGAUGUCUGAUUAGCUAGUUGGUGGGGUAAUGGCCUACCAAAGCUUCGAUCAGUAGCUGGUCUGAGAGGACGGCCAGCCACACUGGGACUGAGACACGGCCCAGACUCCUACGGGAGGCAGCAGUGGGGAAUUUUGGACAAUGGGCGCAAGCCUGAUCCAGCCAUGCCGCGUGAGUGAAGAAGGCCUUCGGGUUGUAAAGCUCUUUCAGCCGGGAAGAAAAGGUUGCGACUAAUAAUCGCAAUUCAUGACGGUACCGAAAGAAGAAGCACCGGCUAACUACGUGCCAGCAGCCGCGGUAAUACGUAGGGUGCGAGCGUUAAUCGGAAUUACUGGGCGUAAAGGGUGCGCAGGCGGUUUUGUAAGUCAGAUGUGAAAUCCCCGAGCUUAACCUGGGAACU
Molecule: ribosomal RNA, 423 nt
Filed under: uncultured bacterium
Lineage: Bacteria
Description: bacterial SSU rRNA
Rfam family: Bacterial small subunit ribosomal RNA
Source: RNAcentral